This 436-nucleotide ribosomal RNA is filed under the name uncultured bacterium. Its description in RNAcentral is "bacterial SSU rRNA". It matches the Rfam family "Bacterial small subunit ribosomal RNA", at positions 9 to 423 of the family's 1533-position model. The record is from RNAcentral.
GAGUUUGAUCAUGGCUCAGAUUGAACGCUGGCGGCAUGCCUUACACAUGCAAGUCGAACGCGAAAGGGGGGGCGAACUCCCUGAGUAGAGUGGCGAACGGGUGAGUAAUGCAUCGGAACGUAUCCUCGUAGUGGGGGACAACCUCGAGAAAUCGAGGCUAAUACCGCAUACGACCGACAGGGGAGACUCUGUGGGGGAAAGCGGGGGCUUGGGGCGACCCUGACCUCGCGCUACAGGCGCGGCCGAUGCCGGAUUAGCUAGUUGGUGGGGUAAGAGCCCACCAAGGCGACGAUCCGUAGCGGGUCUGAGAGGACGACCCGCCACACUGGGACUGAGACACGGCCCAGACUCCUACGGGAGGCAGCAGUGGGGAAUUUUGGACAAUGGGGGCAACCCUGAUCCAGCCAUGCCGCGUGAGUGAAGAAGGCCUUCGGUU